Long non-coding RNA from Rhineura floridana, 379 nucleotides. RefSeq lists it as uncharacterized. NCBI's taxonomy places the organism in Eukaryota, Metazoa, Chordata, Lepidosauria, Squamata, Rhineuridae. The record is from RefSeq and is a predicted model, not a curated record. The transcript is spliced from 3 exons.
GCAGAGGGAAAGUUAUUAAAUUGGAUGCCAUGCUUGACAUGUGUCAAAAUUUGUCAUCAGGUCUCUCGUUAACAUUAGCUUCAUCUCAGAAGAACCUUUUGUUCAUACAUCCUGGAUUUUGCAUUAUUGCAAUGAACAUCGGUGAAAGAUUUGCCCAAAGAAAGGUAUAAUUAAGUACAAUGAGGUAGAUUUUGAAGCAUCUUCUUGAGUCAUUUCUGUGGCUCAAUGAUUGCAAAACAUUAAUUUCAACAGCUUGCCAGAAGUUCUCUUGUGUUGUUUUGCUUGAUAAGACAAUGACUUCCAAUACAAUAUCAGGUCACAUAAAGUGGAGGCUUAGUCAUAUGAGUGUACGCCUAACCCUGAGGUGUUUAUGUCUUCU